Molecule: long non-coding RNA, 850 nt
Organism: Spinacia oleracea (spinach)
Lineage: Eukaryota; Viridiplantae; Streptophyta; Magnoliopsida; Caryophyllales; Amaranthaceae
Exons: 3
Source: RefSeq, a predicted model, not a curated record
UGAGAACUGAGAACUAAUCUCAACCCUUAGUUCAAUUCAAUCAACGGCCCUCGUUUUACCCGACCAAAUCAAAAUAAUAAGGGCAGAUGGGUAAUUUUGUCAAUGUGAAUGACAUCCCCUCUUAUCAGAUUUUCAGUUUUCUUUCUUUCUCUCUCUUCCUUUCGUUUUCUCUCUCUUCCUGCAAAUCCUCUUGAUUCGACUUCAUCUUCUUAAAUGUCUUCAGUUUUCGUUGUUCCUGCGAUUCGAUAUUGCUUUACAAUCUUGCGGUUUCAUCUUUCUCACUUUGCGCAGAAGUUGUACAAGGUGUUUGUGGACUUGAGUUUCAAGGUGCACAAAAAACUGGAGCAUACAAUCCCCCGGUCUUGACCAAGUCAUUAAGAAAGUGGAGAAUGCAUCAAACAAAUACCUGCCUUAUCUUCUUGAAUUCGGCUGAAGAUGAUAGUGUAAGUUCUCACUUUAGCUGCUGAUGAGGAUGUUGGUCUUUCUUCUGUUGAUCACUUCUCGGCCUAUUGAUUAUCUUUCCCGAGUGUUGCUUGUGUGACACAAGGUUGGGAUUAUUGAAGCAGCAACAAGGGCCUUAUGGUUAAGUUCUUUUGUGAUGCACUUUGGUCAUGUUGAGUUCCUUGUGUGAUUGGCAUUUGAUGCAGUCUGUAGCACUGACUUAUCAUGAAUGAUGAUUUUAUUUUUAGGAACUUUUUUCUCUGCAGUUGACUUGGGGGGGGUUUGUUGAGGGUUAUUAGUUCUGUUUGUAUGAUGGGUGCAGCUGUUAUGGGGUUGGUUCUGUUGUACUUGGUCAGCCGAGGAGCAACUAGGUUAAGUGAAUUAUUUCGAUUUACUUUUUUGGUUUUUA